Molecule: ribosomal RNA, 292 nt
Filed under: uncultured bacterium
Lineage: Bacteria
Also listed under: 1 other name
Description: partial 16S ribosomal RNA
Source: RNAcentral
GGACUACUGGGGUAUCUAAUCCUGUUCGCUCCCCACGCUUUCGUGCCUCAGUGUCAGAACUAGCCCAGUCACCUGUCUUCACCAUCGGCGUUCCUGACGAUAUCUACGCAUUUCACCGCUCCACCGUCAGUUCCAGUGACCUCCACUAGCCUCAAGUCCGCCAGUAUCCGAAGCAUUUCCUGGGUUGAGCCCAGGGAUUUCACAACGGACUUAACGGACCACCUACGCACCCUUUAAACCCAGUGAUUCUCAGUAACGCUUGGGGCCUCUGUAUUACCGCGGCUGCUGGCAC